GACGAACGCUGGCGGCGUGCCUAAUACAUGCAAGUUGAGCGAUGAAGAUUGGUGCUUGCACCAAUUUGAAGAGCAGCGAACGGGUGAGUAACGCGUGGGGAAUCUGCCUUUGAGCGGGGGACAACAUUUGGAAACGAAUGCUAAUACCGCAUAAUAACUUUAAACAUAAGUUUUAAGUUUGAAAGAUGCAAUUGCAUCACUCAAAGAUGAUCCCGCGUUGUAUUAGCUAGUUGGUGAGGUAAAGGCUCACCAAGGCGAUGAUACAUAGCCGACCUGAGAGGGUGAUAGGCCACAUUGGGACUGAGACACGGCCCAAACUCCUACGGGAGGCAGCAGUAGGGAAUCUUCGGCAAUGGACGAAAGUCUGACCGAGCAACGCCGCGUGAGGGAAGAAGGGUUUCGGAUCGUAAAACUCUGUUGGUAGAGAAGAACGUUGGUGAGAGUGGAAAGCUCAUCAAGUGACGGUAACUACCCAGAAAGGGACGGCUAACUACGUG
This 497-nucleotide ribosomal RNA is filed under the name uncultured bacterium. Its description in RNAcentral is "partial 16S ribosomal RNA". It matches the Rfam family "Bacterial small subunit ribosomal RNA", at positions 28 to 507 of the family's 1533-position model. The record is from RNAcentral.